This 253-nucleotide ribosomal RNA is filed under the name uncultured bacterium. RNAcentral describes it as "partial 16S ribosomal RNA". It matches the Rfam family "Bacterial small subunit ribosomal RNA", at positions 524 to 776 of the family's 1533-position model. The record is from RNAcentral.
UACGUAGGGGGCAAGCGUUGUCCGGAAUUAUUGGGCGUAAAGGGCUCGUAGGCGGUUUGUCGCGUCGGGAGUGAAAACCAGGUGCUUAACACCUGGCUUGCUUUCGAUACGGGCAGACUAGAGGUAUGCAGGGGAGAACGGAAUUCCUGGUGUAGCGGUGAAAUGCGCAGAUAUCAGGAGGAACACCGGUGGCGAAGGCGGUUCUCUGGGCAUGACCUGACGCUGAGGAGCGAAAGUGUGGGGAGCGAACAGG